This 144-nucleotide small nucleolar RNA is filed under the name Ornithorhynchus anatinus (platypus). Lineage: Eukaryota; Metazoa; Chordata; Mammalia; Monotremata; Ornithorhynchidae. The record is from RNAcentral.
CACCUCUCAGGGUCGCACCUGGAGAGUUUCCAUUACUCUACCAGUCUCGACUAUGGGAGGGAGGUGUCAAGCAGAGGCCUGCCCAUUCCAUUCCAUUCCUAGCUUGGGCAGUGGCUAGCGAGUGGAAGGCAAUCUGCUACAAGU